CAAAACUAUCUAAUUUUGAUACCAUUGGAAAGCCCACAAUGUCCUCUUCAAUUACCACCCAAAAUUUCCCGAUAACUCCAAAGGAUUCGGUCGGAAUAAACCCACAAAGUCAGCAUCAUGAACUUUGUCCAGAUUUUCGCCUUUUCAAGAUGUUGAUUUUGUGGGUUUAUUCCGAUCGAAUCCUUUAGAGUUAUGAGAAAAUUUUGGAUGGUAAUUGAAGAGGACAUUGUGGGCUUUCCAAUGGUAUCAAAAUUCGAUAGUUUUGAUGGUCGAAAGUUGUCGAAAAAUUGCCUUAAAAGUCGCCCAAAAAAUCUGAAAAUCUGGGCAGAUUUUCAAAAUUUUUGGGCAACUUUUAAGGCAAUUUUUCGAUCGAAUCCCUUGGAGUUAUAAUGAGAUUUUGGGUGGUAAUUGAAGAGGAU
This 419-nucleotide long non-coding RNA is filed under the name Olea europaea subsp. europaea. Lineage: Eukaryota; Viridiplantae; Streptophyta; Magnoliopsida; Lamiales; Oleaceae. The record is from RNAcentral.